Mus musculus (house mouse) is the source of this 880-nucleotide long non-coding RNA. RefSeq annotates it as predicted gene, 32958. The transcript has 4 exons. NCBI's taxonomy places the organism in Eukaryota, Metazoa, Chordata, Mammalia, Rodentia, Muridae. The record is from RefSeq and is a predicted model, not a curated record.
UUGUGUCCAAAGAAAGCUUGUCUGGUUUCAGCCCAGCUGUCCCGUGAGAAGGCUGCCAUUGCUAACACGCCGGAUGGGCCACUUCAGGGCCCUGUCUCACCGCCUCUGAUCACCCUGUGAAAUAUGAGUUGGGGCACUUUUCUGUGACAAAUGCUUGCUUGACUGAGCCCCCAUUCAGGCAUCCAGUGUCAGCACUUGUCGCAGACGGGCAUUGUGGCUAAGGCAGCCAGACAAUGACAGAUUCAGACUCCUGGCCAGACUGUCAGGGGAGUUUCCCCCUCAGGCCUGGGCUUGUCGCGGGAAUGCCUGCCUGGCCAAAUCUUUCCAGGGCUUUGGGCUGCACCUGUGCUUCCAAAUGUCACUGGGCUUGAGAGCUAGUCGCUUUGCUUUCCAUUGUCCUUGUCAAGAAGCCUUGGGCAAGUGACAUGACACAUCCAAACGAAAACAGGGGUGACUCAAUGCAGGACCAGACUUGGAAAAGACCAGCAAGUCCAGGAUCUCGGUCUUUUGGAGAGGAACCCCAGCCGAGUCACAUGACCAAGUGGCGCUCAUUGCUGAUUGUGCUAGUGGGCUUGGGCCCUAGGCAUGUGGUGCAAUGUCUUUGACAGCUUUGCUGAGCCAGGACAAGUGAAGACAGGAACAUGCAUGAGGAUUUGCAAAGAACCAAAGAAUGGAAAUCCUACAGGCAGUUAUAAUUGAUUACAGCUCCAACCGUCACCACCCAGCCCUAGGGAUAAGACCUGAUGCUUUCUAGAACUUUCAAGAAAUUAAGACAUAAUUUUCAGAAGACCCUGAAGUUUUUGUUGAAAAAGUGAAGGGGCUGGUGAGAUGGCUCAGUGGUUAAGAGAACUGACUGCUCUUCCGAAGGUCCAGAGUUCAA